AGACGUCUACAUUAGAUACCCCCGUAGUCCCAGCCGUAAACUAUGCGCGUUAGGUGUAUCGGUGACCACGAGUUACCGAGGUGCCGAAGGGAAACCGUGAAACGUGCCGCCUGGGAAGUACGGUCGCAAGGCUGAAACUUAAAGGAAUUGGCGGGGAGCACCACAACAGGUGGAGCCUGCGGUUUAAUUGGACUCAACGCCGGGAAGCUCACCGGAUAGGACAGCAGAAUGAUUGCCGGGCUGAAGACCCUGCAUGACUAGCUG
RNAcentral lists this ribosomal RNA (264 nucleotides) under uncultured archaeon. RNAcentral's name for it is "partial 16S ribosomal RNA". It matches the Rfam family "Archaeal small subunit ribosomal RNA", at positions 714 to 982 of the family's 1478-position model. The record is from RNAcentral.